Molecule: ribosomal RNA, 292 nt
Filed under: uncultured bacterium
Lineage: Bacteria
Description: partial 16S ribosomal RNA
Rfam family: Bacterial small subunit ribosomal RNA
Source: RNAcentral
GUGCCAGCAGCCGCGGUAAAACGUAGGAGGCGAGCGUUAUCCGGAGUUACUGGGCGUAAAGCGCGCGUAGGCGGUCGGGUAAGUGGCUUGUGAAAUCCGUCGGCUAAACCGAGGGAGGUCAGGUCAGACUGCUUGACUAGAGGGAGGUAGAGGAGCGUGGAAUUCGGGGUGGAGCGGUGAAAUGUGUAGAGAUCCCGAGGAACACCAGUGGGGCAACCGGCGCUCUGGGCCUUUACUGACGCUGAGGCGCGAAAGCGUGGGGAGCGAACGGGAUUAGAAACCCCCGUAGUCC